AAUGCCGGAUGCUCCAUCACACUGCAUGGUGUGUUGGGAAAGCCUUUGCGGCAUGGGAUGGGGUCGCGUCCUAUCAGCUUGAUGGCGGGGUAACGGCCCACCAUGGCUUCGACGGGUAGCCGGCCUGAGAGGGCGACCGGCCACAUUGGGACUGAGAUACGGCCCAGACUCCUACGGGAGGCAGCAGUGGGGAAUAUUGCACAAUGGGCGCAAGCCUGAUGCAGCGACGCCGCGUGAGGGAUGGAGGCCUUCGGGUUGUAAACCUCUUUUGUUAGGGAGCAAGGCAUUUUGUGUUGAGUGUACCUUUCGAAUAAGCACCGGCUAACUACGUGCCAGCAGCCGCGGUAAUACGUAGGGUGCAAGCGUUAUCCGGAAUUAUUGGGCGUAAAGGGCUCGUAGGCGGUUCGUCGCGUCCGGUGUGAAAGUCCAUCGCUUAACGGUGGAUCCGCGCCGGGUACGGGCGGGCUUGAGUGCGGUAGGGGAGACUGGAAUUCCCGGUGUAACGGUGGAAUGUGUAGAUAUCGGAA
This 527-nucleotide ribosomal RNA is filed under the name Bifidobacterium breve. Its description in RNAcentral is "bacterial SSU rRNA". It matches the Rfam family "Bacterial small subunit ribosomal RNA", at positions 165 to 702 of the family's 1533-position model. The record is from RNAcentral. Lineage: Bacteria; Bacillati; Actinomycetota; Actinomycetes; Bifidobacteriales; Bifidobacteriaceae.